UGGACAGAUUAUUGUAUUCGACUGUAUUCACGGCGUGCAACAGGGGAUUACACUAUUUUUAAACGGAAAGUGAAUCAAUUAACAUAAUAGACUCCU
Non-coding RNA from Nicotiana sylvestris (wood tobacco), 96 nucleotides. Lineage: Eukaryota; Viridiplantae; Streptophyta; Magnoliopsida; Solanales; Solanaceae. The record is from Rfam.